CAGAAGGUAGUUUAUUUAAAAAUACCAGCUUUGGGAGCUGGGGAUGGGGGUUUAAAUCCCCUCUUUCUGA
Molecule: non-coding RNA, 70 nt
Organism: Coturnix japonica (Japanese quail)
Lineage: Eukaryota; Metazoa; Chordata; Aves; Galliformes; Phasianidae
Source: Ensembl